RNAcentral lists this ribosomal RNA (285 nucleotides) under uncultured bacterium. RNAcentral describes it as "partial 16S ribosomal RNA". It matches the Rfam family "Bacterial small subunit ribosomal RNA", at positions 337 to 619 of the family's 1533-position model. The record is from RNAcentral.
UCCUACGGGAGGCAGCAGUGAGGAAUAUUGGUCAAUGGUCGGGAGACUGAACCAGCCAAGCCGCGUGAGGGAGGAAGGUACAGAGUAUCGUAAACCUCUUUUGUCAGGGAACAAAGGCGGGGACGUGUCCCCGGUUGAGUGUACCUGAAGAAAAAGCAUCGGCUAACUCCGUGCCAGCAGCCGCGGUAAUACGGAGGAUGCGAGCGUUAUCCGGAUUUAUUGGGUUUAAAGGGAGCGCAGGCGGUUUGUUAAGUCAGCGGUCAAAGCCCGGGGCUCAACCCCGGC